GAUGAAGAACGUAGCGAAAUGCGAUAAGUAAUGUGAAUUGCAGAAUUCAGUGAAUCAUCGAAUCUUUGAACGCAUCUUGCGCUCCUUGGUAUUCUGAGGAGCAUGCCUGUUUGAGUGUCAUUAAAUUCUCAACUACACUGACUUUGAAUUGGUGUGGCUUGGAUUUGGGGGGAAAAUUGUUGUGGGCUUUUUGUAUAGUCUGCUCCCCUGAAAUUGAUUAGCGGUACCUUUGUGGAACUGUCUACAGGUGUGAUAAUUAUCUACAUCUUAGACAUCUGCUGGAAUGCUGCUUUCUAAACCUUACUUGUAUUGACAAUCUUGACCUCAAAUCAGGUAGGACUACCCGCUGAACUUAAGCAUAUCAAUAAGUGGAGGA
RNAcentral lists this unclassified non-coding RNA (376 nucleotides) under soil metagenome. RNAcentral describes it as "partial contains 5.8S ribosomal RNA, internal transcribed spacer 2, and large subunit ribosomal RNA". The stretch from base 1 to 120 matches the Rfam family "5.8S ribosomal RNA", at positions 35 to 154 of the family's 154-position model. The record is from RNAcentral.